CAGUCGAACGAACUCUGGUAUUGAUUGGUGCUUGCUCAUGAUUUACAUUUGAGUGAGUGGCGAACUGGUGAGUAACACGUGGGAAACCUGCCCAGAAGCGGGGGAUAACACCUGGAAACAGAUGCUAAUACCGCAUAACAACUUGGACCGCAUGGUCCGAGCUUGAAAGAUGGCUUCGGCUAUCACUUUUGGAUGGUCCCGCGGCGUAUUAGCUAGAUGGUGGGGUAACGGCUCACCAUGGCAAUGAUACGUAGCCGACCUGAGAGGGUAAUCGGCCACAUUGGGACUGAGACACGGCCCAAACUCCUACGGGAGGCAGCAGUAGGGAAUCUUCCACAAUGGACGAAAGUCUGAUGGAGCAACGCCGCGUGAGUGAAGAAGGGUUUCGGCUCGUAAAACUCUGUUGUUAAAGAAGAACAUAUCUGAGAGUAACUGUUCAGGUAUUGACGGUAUUUAACCAGAAAGCCACGGCUAACUACGUGCCAGCAGCCGCGGUAAUACGUAGGUGGCAAGCGUUGUCCGGAUUUAUUGGGCGUAAAGCGAGCGCAGGCGGUUUUUUAAGUCUGAUGUGAAAGCCUUCGGCUCAACCGAAGAAGUGCAUCGGAAACUGGGAAACUUGAGUGCAGAAGAGGACAGUGGAACUCCAUGUGUAGCGGUGAAAUGCGUAGAUAUAUGGAAGAACACCAGUGGCGAAGGCGGCUGUCUGGUCUGUAACUGACGCUGAGGCUCGAAAGUAUGGGUAGCAAACAGGAUUAGAUACCCUGGUAGUCCAUACCGUAAACGAUGAAUGCUAAGUGUUGGAGGGUUUCCGCCCUUCAGUGCUGCAGCUAACGCAUUAAGCAUUCCGCCUGGGGAGUACGGCCGCAAGGCUGAAACUCAAAGGAAUUGACGGGGGCCCGCACAAGCGGUGGAGCAUGUGGUUUAAUUCGAAGCUACGCGAAGAACCUUACCAGGUCUUGACAUACUAUGCAAAUCUAAGAGAUUAGACGUUCCCUUCGGGGACAUGGAUACAGGUGGUGCAUGGUUGUCGUCAGCUCGUGUCGUGAGAUGUUGGGUUAAGUCCCGCAACGAGCGCAACCCUUAUUAUCAGUUGCCAGCAUUAAGUUGGGCACUCUGGUGAGACUGCCGGUGACAAACCGGAGGAAGGUGGGGAUGACGUCAAAUCAUCAUGCCCCUUAUGACCUGGGCUACACACGUGCUACAAUGGAUGGUACAACGAGUUGCGAACUCGCGAGAGUAAGCUAAUCUCUUAAAGCCAUUCUCAGUUCGGAUUGUAGGCUGCAACUCGCCUACAUGAAGUCGGAAUCGCUAGUAAUCGCGGAUCAGCAUGCCGCGGUGAAUACGUUCCCGGGCCUUGUACACACCGCCCGUCACACCAUGAGAGUUUGUAACACCCAAAGUCGGUGGGGUAACCUUUUAGGAACCAGCCG
This 1430-nucleotide ribosomal RNA is filed under the name Lactiplantibacillus plantarum. RNAcentral's name for it is "bacterial SSU rRNA". It matches the Rfam family "Bacterial small subunit ribosomal RNA". Lineage: Bacteria; Bacillati; Bacillota; Bacilli; Lactobacillales; Lactobacillaceae. The record is from RNAcentral.